AAAUCAUCCUCUCACUUGCUUUUUCACCUUCUAAGGCAUUUGUUGUUCUCUCUUGUAGUAUUUCACUUGUAUUCUUUGUAGAGUGAAUAAAUAUUAGUGCAGUUGUUCUUUGGUGGACGUAAGAUCAUUUUUUAUCCAAAUCACGUUAAAUAUUGUUGUUCUUCCUUGUUCUUUAAUUUCACGCUUCCGCUAACAAAGUUAAUGAAUGAAUAGUUUCCUCUGCUUCAAUCGGAAUGGUUUUUGAUUGUCGCGACAGCAGAGACAAAAAGCUAUGAGAAAUUGUCUUAGGAUCUUUGAAAUGCUUCCUUUCUUAAGAUUAUGGAAAGACGCUAGAGAAAUUUAGGAAUGACACUGCUAUUAUUUUCAGGUCUUUAUAUGUUGAACAUCGAGUUGUAGGCGUGCUAUAUCUGAAGAAAUUCCUCUUUGCUUGAAGUUGAAAGAAGAUUAGGAACUCCUAUCAACGCCAUGCUCUCCAUCCCCCACACAAGUUUUGCUGGUUUAAUGGGCUGCUGCUUUUAGUAUAUCAAUGAAAGUGCAAAGACCACAUGUUCAAGAGUUCACAUCAAAAAAUUUAUACAUACACCAAAUAUUAUUAUAUUUGUUCAAUUGUUGUUUAUAUUAACGUAUUUGUGAGCCUUACUGGUGGAAUAAUGAUGUGAAACCACAAAUGUAUCUCUAUUCAUCAAAGUCUUAAAAGAUAAUUUUCAGGUAAGUUUUUCUA
This is a long non-coding RNA of Solanum tuberosum (potato), 721 nucleotides long. RefSeq lists it as uncharacterized. The record is from RefSeq and is a predicted model, not a curated record. The transcript has 3 exons. Lineage: Eukaryota; Viridiplantae; Streptophyta; Magnoliopsida; Solanales; Solanaceae.